CGCGCAGGCGGCUUUUCAAGCCUGACGUGAAAGCCCCCGGCUCAACCGGGGAGGGUCGUCGGGGACUGGGAAGCUUGAGGGCGGUAGGGGCCGGUGGAAUUCCCGGUGUAGUGGUGAAAUGCGUAGAGAUCGGGAGGAACACCAGUAGCGAAGGCGGCCGGCUGGGCCGACCCUGACGCUGAGGCGCGAAGGCGUGGGGAGCGAACGGGAUUAGAUACCCCGGUAGUCCACGCAGUAAACGAUGCAGACUAGGCGUGGGGGGACUUGACCCCCUCCGUGCCGCAGCAAACGCGAGAAGUCUGCCGCCUGGGGAGUACGGCCGCAAGGCUAAA
Molecule: ribosomal RNA, 332 nt
Filed under: uncultured Sphaerobacter sp.
Lineage: Bacteria; Pseudomonadati; Thermomicrobiota; Thermomicrobia; Sphaerobacterales; Sphaerobacteraceae
Description: bacterial SSU rRNA
Rfam family: Bacterial small subunit ribosomal RNA
Source: RNAcentral